AGCUUUAUACAAUAAAGUUAUGUCUUUAUUCAUACCUAAAGUAAGCAUUAAGGGAUUCUUAAACUUUCCAUUUAUCCACAUUAGUAACAAUAUAAUGAGGUAAACAAAGCUUUAUACAAUAAAGUUAUGUCUUUAUUCAUACCUAAAGUAAGCAUUAAGGGAUUCUUAAACUUUCCAUUUAUCCACAUUAGUAACAAUAUAAUGAGGUAAACAAAGCUUUAUAC
Molecule: long non-coding RNA, 224 nt
Organism: Limulus polyphemus (Atlantic horseshoe crab)
Lineage: Eukaryota; Metazoa; Arthropoda; Merostomata; Xiphosura; Limulidae
Exons: 2
Source: RefSeq, a predicted model, not a curated record